Long non-coding RNA from Sapajus apella (tufted capuchin), 8526 nucleotides. RefSeq lists it as uncharacterized. The transcript has 2 exons. The record is from RefSeq and is a predicted model, not a curated record. NCBI's taxonomy places the organism in Eukaryota, Metazoa, Chordata, Mammalia, Primates, Cebidae.
AGCCAACCACCAUGGCACAUGUGUACCUAUGUAACAAACCUCCAUGUGCUUCACCUGUACCCCAGAAUUUAAAGUAUGCUAAUAAAAAGAAGUGCUUCAGUGGCUCAGAAUCUGGCAUAAUAUUUUAUUUUUAUCCAAUUUCAGUAAACAUUAUUGAGCAGCUUGUAGGCAUCAGGCUCCAUGAUAGGGAUGCAAGCAUGUAAGACCUCUGUCCAGCAACUGAGAGGUAAAACUACAAUGAGAAAGAUAGACUGGUAACUUAGAUUUAUUUUUAAAUAAUAGCUUUUUGAGAUAUUAUUUACUUACCCUUUAGUCCACUGACUCUGUUUUUAAAGGAGAUGAUUAAUGCAUUCACUCAACAGAUAUUGAGCAUCUGACAUGUGCCAGAGACUUUGUAGGUGAUCAGGUGAUGGAGAUUGACACUGGGCCUAUCACAAAAUGUGUAUUGACAGACAGUUUUCUAUAUGGUGCUAUAGACCAGUGUUCAGGGUCAGCAGAAGGCACUCUGGAAGCAUGUUCAGGGACAAAGCAAUCCUAGUCCUAGAAGGUCUGAGAAGGUUUCCUAUGAUCAUGUCCCUCUCCUGCCCUAACACCCUGAAGGCAUCCAAUCUGCACCAAACAGAGGUUUGACAAAGCUGAAGGAGUUUGCUAGGUUAGUGGCUUGGGGAAAAUAGAAAGGGAGAAGUUUUUCUGGAAAAGAAAAGAAAAUAUGCUGAGGCUCAGAGGUGAAUCACACAUAAUGCACACAGCAGUUCAGUAUUGUGAUAACAUUUGGGACUGUGUGGGCCAACAGUUGCUGCAGGGCCUGAAUGGUGGAGAGGAGCAGCUUCAGUGGAGGUGUGUGUAUGUAUCUUAUCAUGAGGUCACAAUGGAGGUUGAGGUCAGCUACAGGAUGUGACAUUUGAGUUGGGUCACAAAGGAUGUACAGAAGUUUUUCAAGCCUGACCACAGUUAGUCUAGGCAGAAGCAAUUGCAAUUGUGAAAGGAAAUUGCGUGAAAGAAUGGUGUUUUUUGGCUGAGUGAAGAAUUUGAAGUAUCUGGAAAAUGGAGUAAGUGGCACAGAGAAAGAAAACAGCCAAAAGAAUACAUUGGUGAGAGUUCAGAGGGCAGCUUUCAGUUGGAUUUGGUGCAGUGCAAUUACUUUGUAAUAUUGUGCACCUUGUCCUUGUAGGCAGUUGAGGGCACUAGGGGCAGGAGUCUGGGGAAAGACAGGAGCAUUGAAGUUGUUGAGGGAGAAAUGUGAAGCAUGCGUUGGAAAGAUCACGAUGAAUAAACUUGAAUUGGAGGGGCCCUGGAUUGUAAAUGAAAACUAGAGGUAUGUCAUCUGUAUUGUGUAGGAUAUUGCUUAUCUAUAAAAAAUUCUAUAUAGAAUGCUCCCUUGUCAAAGUAACCCUUUGCAGCAAUAGCCAAGUAUAUCUGAUAUUAAAAAUUCUAAUUAACUAAAGGAUAUGCCUUGAUAACUAAACAUUUACUGAGAAGUUACUGUAUCACUGCCGCAUGUCAAUUCACUUUUUUUUCUUAGUAAGCCAGUGAUGUAGCCUGUCAUUUCUCCCAUUUUUCAACAGAGGAAAUUGUGGCCCAGAAUGGUCUAUGUGAUUCAUGGAGGUACUAAACGGCAGAGCUGAUGUUUUAGCCACGACCGUCUGGCUCCAAAGCCUAAAUGUAUGAAACGACCACUAAAGGCACCAUUGAAAAUACUAACAGUCACUGUGUUAGUGAGGAGGGAUAUUGAGCAAAAAGCUUUCAUUUUGCUUUUUUACAAUUCAGUGAUUUGUAAUUUAUUUACAGAGUCAUGUAAUUAUUACCUCAAUGUAAUUUUAGAACAUUUAAAGAUUCCAUGCUCAUUUGCCUCCCAUUCUCACCCCAACCCUAGAUAACAUCAUAUCUACUUUAGUGGUAAUCAGCUUGUAAAUGAAUGGUUGACUUUAGUUUAAUGACAUUUUUUUUUUUUUUCUUGAGGAGUGGCAAUCUGAUAGCCUUAAUCACAAAUUCAGGAGAAGAACAUUGUUUGGCCUUAUCAUUCCUAACUUCUGCAAGCUAUUUGUGUCCUCUUCAUAAUUUGAGGCAAAGAAGGUUAAACGUGACAGGCUUUGUGGCGGUCAUUGGUCAGAGGCAUCUGGGUUAGACUGCCUGAGACCCUACCCCAGAGUUCUGUCUUGCAGGUAAGGCCAAUGGACAAACUGUUAAGCAACACUGGAGAAAGCAAUUCUUGUAGAAAUCCUGAUGCUUUUGGCGAAGGGCUUAUGUUAAACUUCUCUCUGCUGGAAACCAUUGAAUUGUUUUUAAAAAUUUAGUAUGUAUGAAGCAUUUGGAAUGCUUGGCAUUUUGAGAAUAAAAUCCACAUCAAUUUAAAAUAAAAUAAAACUCCCCAUCCAGAAUAGAGUAGUAAUUGCAAGGCAUAAAAUAGCCCAGCUGUGGAGUGGCUUAAAGGACAAUUGGUCUGAGGCAGAGAUACCAGAUAGGACACGGCCACACAAAUGACUGUAAUGCCUGAAUUAGUGUACCUAUCGGGUAGCACAUAGAUCUGAAAUGGCUUAAAAUAAAAAUUGCAAAUGCACCAGAUUUAAUCAAUCUUUGUAUUUCUUUCUCUUUUGCUCUCAGUCCUUAGUUAAAAAUAAAAUUCCGCUGCCUCAUUCUCCUGUGUGAUAGCUAGUAGGAUUAACUGGAGUUCUCAACAGGAAAGCAAUAGAUCUAGUAGACAACAUUGUAUGGUGGGUGAAAGCCCGAUGGAGAUAAUUAUACAGUCACUCCCACUAUAUUACCCUUCAAAGAAACUGAGCCUAAUAUUCUCCUCCUAAGCAAUUUAACCAACUUCUAAAAAAAAGUCUAAGAUAUUAUUUAGAGAAUGAAAUAGCUACUGUAUAUAAUCAGGAGGGAGAAUUAUCAUUUGAUAAGUGUAUAAAGAGCUAUGCUCAAAGCUUUGUCUUGUACCUCCUAAGUAAUUGUUCAGUUGUGCUAACUGUCCUUAAAAAAGGAGAAGAGAUAAAGAACCGCUAAAGAAAAACUAAUCGUUACACUUGUUCAGUGAAAUUUUCCUUCUGGGCAAAGAUUAAGCCUUAUUUCACGCUCCAUAAGGAUCAAGCACACCUUUAGCCCUCACAUGUGUAGUGUUGGUGAUUUCUUUGCCUUUCUCACGUUCACGUUCCUGUGUAGACAUAGACGCCAAUAUGAAACUACAUGCCAUAAAAGUGUGUUUUAAGAUCUACCACGUGUACGUCCUACUAGGUAGAGAUGUUGUAUCUCUGUGUUCACUGCACUUACAUCCCAGUAUUUUCAGAAGAUACAACUGUAUGCAAAUGUUUUCAAUAUCCCUUUGUAGGGUCACCAAAAAAGAGCCCUUGAAGUCUACUUAUUUCAAAAAUGAGCUGGCAGUAACAUCAGAGUCAAUUUCCUUUUGGUUUGCUUUAAACAAAAUAAACAGCCCAUUACGUGAGCUGUAUAAGACUUAAGUGUUUGAGCACUUUGCUUAGAGUUUGUAAGUAUUGUGCUCCCACCAUCAAAAAGUAAGCAAAUAAAUAAUAAAAAGUGAAUCUAAUUGUUACUAUGUGAAGUCAUACAGCAUAUUUGCUGAGAGCAGCUCCUCUAAAGAUGUCAAAGUGCCUUAGAUGGAACACUGUAUCUUCCACUCACCAGCUGGGUAACAUUAACAGGCAGCUUAAUCUCUCCAUGCCUCAGUUUCUGACUUCAAAUGAUUGUGAUAAUACAGUGCCUGCAUCAUACGGUUGUGGAGACAUCAGUUAGGCACCGUUCCUCUCACACGUCAUCGAUUCUAAGACCCAUUCACGCGCUUAACGUUUCUGACUAAUUACUGUCAGUGGUAAUCAUGGCGUGGUUGUCAUUGUCUGCACGUGUACAUCAAAAUCUUUUGUCUAUGGAGAUCAGUGACUUUGAAGACAAUCCUGGAGUCAACAAUGGACCCCCUUUUUGUAAAAUUAAGACUCUCAAUGGCCCAGAGGUCAGUCUUAUGAGGAAAAACAUAGAACUUCAAUGAUUUUCACUUGAAAAGUAAUUCAAAGGGUUGAAAUUUAAACGUAAAGAAAUUUUUGGAAUGCUUUCACUUGUUGCAUUCACAUUUUUCUCUUUAUAUAUUAGAGGUGUGACAUACAAUACAAGCUAUGGAUAAAUAAUUUUAAGCCAUUUAUUUCAACAAAUACGUAAUAGAUAUUCUAACAACAAAGCUCUAUGUUAUAAUUUAAAUGGCAGUAAUCUUCGUUUCCAGUGUUGUAAUAGCUAAUGGUGUAUUUUAUAAUCAGUAGCAUCUUUGAUUUGAUGAGGGAGCGAAAUAAGAAGUCAAUAAAUGUUAGAGUCCUCAUUAAGGUUUGGGUAGAGGUUAAUUGUUGAUAAAUAUAUUAAUAGAGUUAAGGGUUCUAAGAAUUUUUAAGGUGAGUAGAGCUCAGUGAAAUCAUAUUUUGGAUUUACCAAAAGUCUACAGGAUUUGACUUGUAACUGUAUCAGUAUGACUUGCUGAAGUCCAUUCAAUAAAUAUUGUAUUAAAUUGGGCUGAAAUUCAUGUCUGCUAAAUAUGUAUCCUCAGCCCUUUUCUCUUCAUUAUGGGGAUUAAUUUGAAUGAUAGAGGUGAAAGCACUUUGUAAAUCCAAGUAAGAAUUAUUAGUAAGGAUAGUUCAGGUAAUGCUGUAAUAAAAAAUACUCUCCAAAUCUCAGUGCUAAAACCAAGGGUUUAUUUCUCACUUACGCUACCUGUUCAUCAUAGGUCAGAAGGAGUUCUUUGCAGACUAGUGGUUGUCAUCUCCAGCAUUUCUGACCUCUAUGCCAGGUAAAAGAGCUCUGAGCGUCUCAAACUGGCAAUUCCACACCCUGACCUGGGUGUAACACAUAUCACUUCUUACAGCUCCUUAGCCAAAGCUACUCACAUGACUCUAUCUAGCCAUAGGGUUGCCACAGAGCACAGAGCUGGAAAUAUGUGGAGAACAAUGCCGGUAACUCUGUAGUAGUAAUAAUGAUUAGCAAUCAUUGAGUGCUUCCUAGUACCAGGCACUGUUGUAAGCCUUUAUAUGGGUAGAGUCCUUUAGUCUUAAUUAAGUGGGUAUAAUCACGAUUCCCAUUGUACAGAUGAGAACCCAAGGUAUACAAAGGUAGACCAACCUGCACAGAAGAGGCAGAGCAGGGAUUUUGCUUGUGCAACAUUGAUGUGUGUCUCAAACUAUAAUGGUUCGGAAUGCAUUUUUUAAACUGUAAAAAGAAGAUACAAAUAUAGUUGAGGAUCUUCUGUUCUGAAAAUAAGGGAUGAGGUUAGGUGAUUGAUCCCCAAGCCUCCCUAACAUUUCACCUGGAUCUGUCUAAAAUGACCUACACUUAACUGCUGUGUUCUUUUGCCGCCACAUCUUCAGAAACCAGGGGCCCUCUCCUGGCCACUCUCUUACCUGAUAGCUCAGCAGAGGGGCAUUGUCCCAACAUUUCAGUAGAUACUUCCUCCUUCGAGGUAUUUAACCUUUCUGUUUUGGCAGUUUUCUAACAUAUAAAACAACAGUAGAGUGGCCACAGUCUACUCCAUUAUCAAUGAUCAAUACACAAUUAUCUAUACAUUCUCAAUCUUUCUUGCUUUCACUUUGCAAGUUAAUCUGGCUGCUCGUCAAGCUGAGCUGUGAACACAAAGUGUGUUCCUUGGGAUUGCAGGGUAUAAGGCUACUAAAACGGGGAGCCAGUGACUAGGGGAGGGCCAGAGAGGACAUGUGGAGGACAGAAUUGAAGAGCUUCAACUGGAAAAGAGGCCAUCUCUAAUCAAUAGUUUAGACAAGUUUGCAAGUGGAAGAUAAAUGAUAUGACAAUAUCUAAUCAUUCAUAGGACGUUCUUGCAAUGUAAGGGGGGAAGGAGAAAUAUGUUGUUAACAUUGUGCCAAAAUCAUUACCUUUCUCCCUACCUGCAGCUCUAAUCUCGCCUGCUAUGGAGGUAGGUAAUAAACGGAAGCCUGUGAGCUCUGUUCAGUGGGACAGCAAACAGAGAGGCUUCUUUCCAGCCUCUCCCACCAGGCCAAGAAGCAGCUGAGUUGGAUAGAAAGCACGCCUUCAGCACCCUGGGCUUCCUCUCAGCGGCAUCCGGAGGACCCUGGGUCACUUAACCUCCCUGUCUCUUUUUGGAAAACGCAUAUAAUAACCGUCUGGGUGACUCACACAUCUAUUAUAGCAUUUAAUUAACAAAUGUUCCUCAAGUGCUUUGAGCUCCCUGUUUGCAUAGAUGUGACUGAAAUGUAAAAUACCUUUCACUGCCUUAUUUAUUGCUCCAGCGAACACGCUAUAUGCUGGCACCAUUUAUCUUCAUUUUAAAUUUAUCUCCCACAAAUAUAGGCAUUAAUUUAAAUCACAUACAGAACAUAACAGUUUUUAUAGAGGCAAACUUAUUCCAGUGUGCUGCAUUUUAAUAUCGCACUUUACCAUCUUUUCUCACUUGAUUCAAGAAUAGUAUCUCUUCCUGCCUCAGCAUUUAAUCUUAGGACAACAGAAACUUUUUUGUGUGUGCGUGUUCUUGCUCUCAAACUCUGUUUCUCACUGCUUUGCUGCUUGUUGCCUGAAAGUUGUUUUGUCAGUGUGAGCACAGUGGUAAGUUGUUCCAUUUCUCUUUUGCCAGCUUAAUUUCCUGUGUGUGUGUGUGUGUGUGUUGGGGUGGGGGGCAGUUAAAAGGGGAUUGUAACAUGAUGGAUUUUACAGCUGAAGCUUAUACUCAUUCAGCUUUAGAUCCCAUUUCUGAUAGUGAUAAAGGCAAUAAAAUUGAUACCCCCUUUGUAAAAUUUACAUAUUAAAGACCCCUUUAAACUGCUCACUUUUUUUCUGUCUUUUUUUUUUUCAUUCAGAGACAAAAUUUCCCCUUUUUUCAUCACUGUUACAUUUGUGGCAGAUGAGUCUUUUCCCUGCGGGGAAUCAUGGUAAAUGGGCAUGCUGUAUUUAUGGCUAUGAAACAUUCCAGUUAGCUGCUACACCCUAAGCAAGGACGGUUUCCCCAUCCUUAAUUUGUGGCCUGAAAAGCUGUGGCUCUCCUCAAUUAAGACUUUCCAAAUUGCCUCUGACAUGGCAGCAUAUUCCCAGAAGUCAGGUCCGGGGAGGCAGUAAUAACAUGAGCAUCAUUCUAGAACCAUUUUGUGCUCUUUUCAGAAGCUUUUAGGAUGCUUUUUCUCCAAAGCGGUAAAUUAAAAAGAAAAAAAAAAAACUUAUUUUAAUUUUUUGUUUUUAUUUUUCCAGGUCUCUGAAUGUCUAGGUUCAGGGACAUCUGUCAUAGUCUUAUUUAUUUAUUUUACAUUUAGUCUGGAUUUAAAAUGUACCAAUUAAUGUUUAACUUCUCUGUUUUAUUCUUGAAACAACCCUACAAGAUGGGUAUCAUUAUUAUGUUCAUCUUACAGAUGAGGAAACAAGGCCUAGAGAAUUUAAGUAUUUUUUUCUGAAAUGGUACAGCUAGUAAGUGGCAGGGCUCAGAUUUUGGAUCCGGUCCACCUUAACUAAUUAUGCUUUUGAUGUAGCUCUCUUCAGGCUGAAUUCUUGACCUCUCGUUUGAUGCCUCCUCUUCCCAAACCCUUAGUCUUUGUGCUACUAGGUAGAUUUUUAUCUGUGGCAAGAACACGGUUACCCUGGAAACCCACUAGCUAGAAUGGCAAUCCAAUUAUAACACCACCACUUUUUUUAAAUUAAAUUAGCGCUGCUGAUGACGUGGAAUUCUUGAUUGAAGCAUGCUGAGAAAUGGGUUCUCACCACUUGUUCUUGCCUCUUAGGAUCAUAUGGGCUCAUUCUCAUCUAUUCUAUCAAACCAAACAAAAAAAUGCCUCUAUGUGACUGAUUGACCGGAUUUAGGGAAUAAAAUGUGAUGAUCUUUUUGGACCCUGAGCUUUCAGUAGUGACUAGAGAUGCAUGCAAGUGUUUGGAAAGAGGCGCUGUUGAAGAAGAAGCCUGUCAUCUGAAUCCUUUCUACCCCGCAAGGACACCAGGGUCUGCUGAUUUAGAGCCCUGCUCUUAAGUACUGAGGCUAGUGCUCUCUAUUUUAGUGAUUCUUAUUUCAUUUCAGGUCACUGGUUUAAAUCCAGACUUGAUUCAGGAAAGGUUGUAGCCUUUUGAUAUUCUUUGGUCUUCACAGACUUCUAAUAGGGCAGGAAUUUGCUUUGGUUCAAACCAAUUGGUGAAUUUUCUUUUAAGUACACAGAAUUUAAACAAUCGAAUUAAUAUAGCCACUGUUGAGCCAAGUGGCACCAGGUUGUGGGAAAGGAUAUUCAUUAUAUAAGCUAGUGUGUUGUGGGCUCACUCUCUGAGAUGGUAAAUGGUAGGCUGGUAGAAUGUUGAGUUAUUUCCUUCUGCAUAACACACAGGUGCCAGGCAUGUGACCUCGUACCUCUAUGACUUUCGUCAACUUCAUUUUCCAUUUUGUAGAGUAGGUAAAGAUAAAGAGAAGGGCUUGCUCAUUUGCAGGGCUAUUUUGUGAUGAGGAAUUUUGAAUACAGGAUUCCUAACUUACAGUCCAGCGCUCUUUGCUUUAUACCACCAAGUCACCACAGAGUCUCAGGGCCUGUCCUCUGUAUUGCAGAAAACAAA